RNAcentral lists this long non-coding RNA (324 nucleotides) under Carica papaya (papaya). Its description in RNAcentral is "long non-coding RNA (CPAP_LNC013320)". Lineage: Eukaryota; Viridiplantae; Streptophyta; Magnoliopsida; Brassicales; Caricaceae. The record is from RNAcentral.
GUUGGGUGAUGAUUCGAGUGAUCGUGCAUCAGGGCGAUCUAGUUGACAAGUUAGCUAAUUAUAUUUUGAUCUUGUUAGAAUCAUGUGUAAAUAAGAGAAAGUUGGUGCAUUCUUUUCCAGUUACAGAUCAAUUGAUCAUAUUCUACUGGUUUAUAAGCACACAACUAUGUUUAUUUAUUUAUUUUUUUAAUAAUUUUUUUUCACAUACAACAAGUGUAGGUGAAAAAAUAUUUAAGUGUUUGUUUGUGUGCGUUGCUCAAGCACGUUACACCUAUCAUGUCUUCCUUCCUAAUUAUUUUAUAUGUCAUGAUCAAGUUAAUUUUA